GAUGAACGCUAGCUACAGGCUUAACACAUGCAAGUCGAGGGGAAACGAUAUUGGAAGCUUGCUUCCGAUAGGCGUCGACCGGCGCACGGGUGAGUAACGCGUAUCCAACCUGCCCAUCACUUGGGGAUAACCUUGCGAAAGUAAGACUAAUACCCAAUGACGUCUCUAGAAGACAUCUGAAAGAGAUUAAAGAUUUAUCGGUGAUGGAUGGGGAUGCGUCUGAUUAGCUUGUUGGCGGGGUAACGGCCCACCAAGGCGACGAUCAGUAGGGGUUCUGAGAGGAAGGUCCCCCACAUUGGAACUGAGACACGGUCCAAAACUCCUACGGGAGGCAGCAGUGAGGAAUAUUGGUCAAUGGACGAGAGUCUGAACCAGCCAAGUAGCGUGCAGGAAGACGGGCCCUAUGGGUUGUAAACUGCUUUUAUAAGGGAAUAAAGUGAGUCUCGUGAGACUUUUUGCAUGUACCUUAUGAAUAAGGACCGGCUAAUUCCGUGCCAGCAGCCG
This 504-nucleotide ribosomal RNA is filed under the name uncultured bacterium. RNAcentral describes it as "bacterial SSU rRNA". It matches the Rfam family "Bacterial small subunit ribosomal RNA", at positions 28 to 517 of the family's 1533-position model. The record is from RNAcentral.